GUGAGGAGCUUUGGCCAGGAGUGCCACAAACGUUGGGAAGCUCACUUGCUCUCUGUGUGGAAUCAAUAUCAAGAGAUUUUGGAAGCAUACAUUUUUGGCAGCUGGGCAACUGGUGAUGGUUGGUCCCAGAGCCCCU
Molecule: small nuclear RNA, 136 nt
Organism: Sorex fumeus (smoky shrew)
Lineage: Eukaryota; Metazoa; Chordata; Mammalia; Eulipotyphla; Soricidae
Product: U11 spliceosomal RNA
Exons: 1
Source: RefSeq, a predicted model, not a curated record